This 4099-nucleotide long non-coding RNA is filed under the name Prunus persica (peach). RNAcentral describes it as "long non-coding RNA (PPER_LNC007394)". The record is from RNAcentral. Lineage: Eukaryota; Viridiplantae; Streptophyta; Magnoliopsida; Rosales; Rosaceae.
AAUUCUGCAGCGAAUCUCCACCGUCCGAUCUUAAUCAUCCUCCGACGAUGCCGAUCCGGAACAUUGCCGUUGGCCGACCCGAGGAGGCGUACCACCCGGACGCCUUGAGGGCGGGUCUCGCCGAGUUCAUUUCCACGCUGAUCUUCGUCUUCGCCGGCGAGGGCUCCGGCAUGGCCUUCGCCAAGCUCACCCACGGGGCCGCGACCACGCCAGCAGGCCUCGUCGCCGCCGCUCUAGCCCACGGAUUCGGCCUCUUCGUCGCCGUCUCCGUCAGUGCGAACAUCUCCGGCGGACACGUCAACCCCGCGGUCACUUUCGGCGCCUUCGUCGGCGGCAAUAUCUCCCUCCUCCGCGGCAUCCUCUAUUGGAUCGCCCAGCUCCUCGGGUCCGCCGUCGCGUGCGGUCUCCUCAGGUUCGCAACCAACUACCAGGUAAUUUUAUCACUUUCUGGCCCUUUUUGAACUAUAAGUUUCUCGUUAAGUUCGUUAAUAUAUCAUUUUAUAUUAAAAGUGUGACUAACGGGUCUUGAUUAUGUGCUUCGCAGACUACCUCAGCAUUUGCUCUCUCCGAGGGGGUUGGGGUAUGGAACGCGUUCGUUUUCGAGAUCGUGAUGACGUUUGGGUUGGUGUACACGGUGUACGCCACAGCCAUUGACCCGAAGAGAGGCAGCGUGGGAACAAUCGCGCCGAUCGCGAUCGGUUUCGUAGUUGGCGCGAACAUUUUGGCGGGUGGGGCUUUCGAUGGAGCAUCCAUGAACCCGGCCGUUUCAUUCGGGCCGGCUUUGGUGAGCUGGAACUGGCACAACCACUGGAUCUACUGGGCCGGGCCUUUGAUCGGCGGUGGGCUUGCUGGGCUUAUUUACGAGUUCGUCUUCAUCGGCAACUCUAGCCACGAGCCACUCCCGACCGCUGAUUACUAAUUAAUUAAGCUUUAAUUAAGCCCUAAUUAAGAUUCAAUCAAAUGAUAUGCAUGCAUGAUGAAUCUUCACUUGUUUUUAUGAGGGUUUUGUACCUUUGAAUUCUUGUGUUUUAUUUCAUCAAGAAAGAUCAUGAUCGUUCAUCAUGAGUUCGUUGCCACCGUUGAUUGUAUUUGUUUCGCGAUUUGCAUGCUCCGGUUGUAUGAUUAAUUUAAUUUAUCCUUUUUUAUUAUUAUAAAUUUUCUGUAAUUUAUUUCUUGAAGAUACUCUUCUUCUCACUUCUUUUUACUGUUUUUAAUUUGGACCUACGCGGCCACGCGUCAUAUGAUAGAGAUAGGGUUGGGUUGGAUUAAACAGUUAAAUCUAGAAUGUGCUUGAUUUUGGUAGUUUUUACCUACCCCCUAAAGUGAAUAACUACUGUUCCUGCAUGUGAUUGAUUUGGCCCUGCCGACACCAACCAUUCGCCAAUAGUAGUAGUAGUUAAUCGGGGGAAGAUACAUGCAUGGGUAAUGUUAAGAAUCAUAAUUUUAGACCAGCAAUAAAUUACGUAUAUCAUGUCACACUAAAUAUUUUGAAUAAUGAAUAAUGAGGACAUUCUUUUUUAUAAACGUUGGAUUUGAAUUUAGAAUUUCUUUCAAUGUUUUAGUCGGUAACUAAGUAGGUUGCUGAUAUGUAUCAUUAUCACGUGCUGGAUAAUAUGAUUAAUUACUUACAAUACAAUCUAAUGAUUUGUUUAGAAGAUUAAUUUCCUCGUCCAUGAAGUUACUAAUUAGAAGUAAUUAAACCAAGCUAGCUAAAAUAAAAUACUCUGGUAGAGAACUAUUUGACAUGUGACUACUAGGAGCCUAUAUGACACACAUAAAUGCAAAUAUAUAAAUGCAAAUAUUAUAGGCAAUAUUAUUAUUAUUUAUGCAUGCGUAUUCAAUCAUGUGGUGUGGGUCUUGGAAAAGGAAUUUUGAAAUUGAUUGAUUUCAAUAUGUUUUUGGGUGGUUGGGUUUUCAUGUGAAGAGCACGAGAGGUGUGUGUUUCACGUUGAAAGACUGCUAGAAGAAGAGCCCAGACUACCCAUAUGAAAUGAAUGUGAUCAACUUAAAUAUUAGAGGAAUGGCAUGACCUACUUUCAUUUCAUAGAGAUUCCUCCUCGUCGUCAUCAUCAUCUCGUUCUCAUUCAUGAAAAAAGAAAAAAAGAAGAUGAAGAGCACAUGAUAAUUUUCUGGACCAUACUUUUGUAUCUUGUCCUUUUUAAUCUGCAUCUUUUGGCCACCUUCGUGGCCCGGUGCUAUCGUUUUCAAACCCGAAAGCUGCCCCGCUCUCUCUCUCUCUCUCUCGUAAAUGUUCUGGUUCUCACUGUGCAAACAUUGGCCAAGACGUGGUUUCAAGCGGACCGCACAACUUGCAAUGCUACCUUUCAAUUUCAUAGGAUCUUCUAAAGAAGAUUUGGGGUCCCAUGGCUCACCGUCCAUUCUGGUUUUCUAAUUUAUUAUCACACGGUUUAUAAAUAGUUUUUACUUUUCAAAUGGUAAUGUUGAUUUCUUGCCAAACUUUAUGUUACCACACAAAUAUUUAUAUGCAUAUUGACAGACUAAGAAUCCGAAUCGCGCAUUAUCAAAUAAAAAUUAAUAUGAUCAAUAUCAAAACUCACGUCACACAUUUAAAUAAGAACCAACAUGAUUAAUGAUCGAGAUUGAUAUUCUCAUGUUGUGUAAACGAGUGAAGAAGAAACUCACUGAAGCACACAAUACAAUAUUAGUGAAACUUUGCAGUGGAGUGAUUGAUUGACGACACAAAGCUGGUGGAAAGUAAUUUUUUUUUUAUUCUGACCCAAAUGAAGCCUUUGGCUCUUAGCCAGUUAUGUCGAACCAGUUGCAACUGGAGACUGCACCAUGGCUUGGCUUCUCACGUCGUUUUGACGUGACCUGUCCCUACCCAGUUUGCUAGAAUUAUUAACAAAACGUGAGAGAAGUUUGGCAGAGGUUGGGGAUGAUGAUGAUAAUGAACAAAUGUCUGUUUGUGUGUAGAACCGAAUACGGCCUUCAUUUCUUGCUCUCAGAAUACAAUAAUACUAGAGAAUUUGAAAUAUUGAAAUAUUGAGGGACUUUAUAUGAUUAAGGAAGCUGUCUGGAGUACUGAGUAUAAUGGUUUGUGAUAGGUGCCUGAGUUGUUAUGGUGGGAAAAUUAUUGUGGGGGCAACAACAAUUUAAAUUAUUCUAGUGUUCUGUUUUUUUUUUUUAAAGUUAGAAAAGGGAUGGGGAAAAACUCACACACACGAGUACUGUAGGGGUAACGCUUGAGUCAAUCCAACACACACCCCAUAAGUGCUAUAUAUCAUAGUUUAACCAAUUAAAAUAAAAACUAGACAGAUGACAUGUUUACUUAUUUAAAUUAUACAUGGGUAUUACGAGACUUUCACAUUAAAAUUCAUAAUUUAAUAUCCAUAAAACCAUGAAUUAAAUUGACUAGGAGAGAAUGGUCGAUUGGAGAGGUGGAGCCACUCAUGGGCUAGUAGUGACCCUGCCCCUUGCCCCUUGCCCCUUGCCCCCGAAAAUAUUGCUAGAAAACUCUCAUAUUUACAUAAUCGGCCCCUCUAAACAUGUGUAUGGAUGUGAAAUUUGUUAAACUUGUGUAAAAAUCAAUCCAACUACAGCUUGUUAUUUAUAUUUUGGCUCCCCAAAAUUUAAAAUCUUAGCUCCUUAGCUCCGGCCAUGCACGAUCCCCGACCUAUUCAUUGUCCUUUCUACUUUCCCACUUCAUGAGAUGACUUCCCAUAUUCCGAGUAAGUAAACAUGCCAUAAAUGCAAAUAGUCGCCAACCUACAGCUCGAGAGUGCAAGGCGAGAUCAAGAUUCGAGCUGUAGUCCGAAUGUGGGACUUAGGACUCAAGUCCAAAGCUUGGAUUAUGGGCCUGUGGUCUUAGACCUCUGAGCUCGGACCAGGCCACCAAUGAUUCUUGUUUCCUCGCUCAGAAUCUGAUGAACAUUGGUUGAAAGUGCCACUCUAAAAAUGGGCUAGGCUCUUCCAAUAACUGCAAGAGCAGAGGGGUGCCUCCAAACUCAGAUAGGCCCAAAUGAAUUAUUGUUGGGUUGGGUUGCUAUCACGUGGCCACGCAAGCAUAGACUUGAUAACGCUCACGUCAUUAACCACGUGGAUAUAUACAAAUGUCCUGAACCCCAAAGUUAGCCGACAC